AGAUUUUAUUUAUUUAUUCAUGAGACAGAGAGAGAGAGAGGCAGAGACACAGGCAGAGGGAGAAGCAGGCUCCAUGCAGGGAGCCCAACGUGGGACUCGAUCCAGGGACUCCAGGACCACCACACCCAGGGCCAGAGGACCCCAUCCAGGAUGUCAUAUUGCAUUUAUCUCAUGACUCCUUGGUUCCUCUGCGCCGCGGCAGUUUCUCUCAGACAUGAACAUGACUUAUCACUGUUGGUACUGACCUUGAUCACCUGGCUGAAGAGGAGCUUGUCAGGUUUCUCCACUGGAAAAUUACUUUUCAUUUACCCUUUUUCAUUCUAUCUUCUUUGGAAGGAAGUGAAUUAAUAUGCUCAACCCACACCUAAGGAUGGCAGUUAUGUUAACCUCCUUAAAGGUAGAGUAUCUACAUAAGUUAUUUGGAAUUUUUCUGGAGUGAAGAUUUGUCUUUUCUACUUAUUAUUCGGUUAUUUAUUUAUAUCAGUAUGGACUCAUGGAUAUUUAUUUCAUAUUUUAAGUUAUAAUCCAAUACUACUUAAUUUUGUUGCUCAAAUUGUUCCACCUUUGGCCUUCGGGAGCUCUUUUAGUUAACACCUGUUUUCCUUUGACAUACCCCCAUCGUUGUAUGCCCUUUCGUCUUCUUCUUCUUGAUCUUGGGAACCUCCUUCUUUCUGGCAUUAUAUGAUACUGCAGGCUUAUCUUGCAUAUUUCCUGCUCAGGUCCUAGAAUCAGCUGUUUCUCAAAAACCCUGAUUCCUCCCAUUGGAGAGUGGUAUUAUAAACUAAGAUCUGGAUGCUAAGUAUGCUCAUUGCUACUGAGGUGUGAUUUCUUUUAAGCCUUCAAAACUAACAGAACAAAGAAAUAUAUAUGUAUAUACUAACCUGUUUGUAAACACAUAUCUAUAAAUAUUUCUGUAUGUAACCAUCUGUAUCUAUAUUAAACUAAACAUGAGUUUA
This is a long non-coding RNA of Canis lupus familiaris (dog), 956 nucleotides long. RefSeq lists it as uncharacterized. The record is from RefSeq and is a predicted model, not a curated record. Lineage: Eukaryota; Metazoa; Chordata; Mammalia; Carnivora; Canidae. The transcript has 2 exons.